This 898-nucleotide ribosomal RNA is filed under the name uncultured bacterium. Its description in RNAcentral is "bacterial SSU rRNA". It matches the Rfam family "Bacterial small subunit ribosomal RNA", at positions 53 to 946 of the family's 1533-position model. The record is from RNAcentral.
ACAUGCAGUCGAGGGGCAGCAUCAUCAAAGCUUGCUUUGAUGGAUGGCGACCGGCGCACGGGUGAGUAACACGUAUCCAACCUGCCGACAACACUGGGAUAGCCUUUCGAAAGAAAGAUUAAUACCGGAUGGCAUAAUUAUUCCGCAUGGGAUAAUUAUUAAAGAAUUUCGGUUGUCGAUGGGGAUGCGUUCCAUUAGGCAGUUGGCGGGGUAACGGCCCACCAAACCUACGAUGGAUAGGGGUUCUGAGAGGAAGGUCCCCCACAUUGGAACUGAGACACGGUCCAAACUCCUACGGGAGGCAGCAGUGAGGAAUAUUGGUCAAUGGACGAGAGUCUGAACCAGCCAAGUAGCGUGAAGGAUGACUGCCCUAUGGGUUGUAAACUUCUUUUAUACGGGAAUAAAGUGAGCCACGUGUGGCUUUUUGUAUGUACCGUAUGAAUAAGGAUCGGCUAACUCCGUGCCAGCAGCCGCGGUAAUACGGAGGAUUCGAGCGUUAUCCGGAUUUAUUGGGUUUAAAGGGAGCGUAGGCGGGUUGUUAAGUCAGUUGUGAAAGUUUGCGGCUCAACCGUAAAAUUGCAGUUGAUACUGGCGACCUUGAGUGCAACAGAGGUAGGCGGAAUUCGUGGUGUAGCGGUGAAAUGCUUAGAUAUCACGAAGAACUCCGAUUGCGAAGGCAGCUUACUGGAUUGUAACUGACGCUGAUGCUCGAAAGUGUGGGUAUCAAACAGGAUUAGAUACCCUGGUAGUCCACACAGUAAAUGAUGAAUACUCGCUGUUGGCGAUAUACAGUCAGCGGCCAAGCGAAAGCAUUAAGUAUUCCACCUGGGGAGUACGCCGGCACGGUGAAACUCAGAGGAAUUGACGGGGGCCCGCACAAGCGGAGGAACAUGUGGUU